This is a long non-coding RNA of Podarcis raffonei (Aeolian wall lizard), 907 nucleotides long. RefSeq lists it as uncharacterized. Lineage: Eukaryota; Metazoa; Chordata; Lepidosauria; Squamata; Lacertidae. The transcript has 2 exons. The record is from RefSeq and is a predicted model, not a curated record.
ACUCCACUGCUUUAUCCCUCAUUUGCCAUUACUGAAAUGUCUUUCUCUUUUGUUUAUCAAGUUUUUCAUGCCUUUGUAUGCAUCUCUGCUCAUUUGGAGACAAGCAUUAGCCUCCAUCUUCCUCCUGGAAGCUUUUAAAAACACUUUUUAAUGAAGGUCAACAAAUGUGAGGAGAAAAGGUCUCUGAGAGCAAGAUGGCUGACCUUGAGGCAAUAGAGGCCUUUGACAUGAGGAAUUUGUGUGAGAGCAAGAUGGCCGCCCUUAAGGCAGUAGAGGCCUUUUGACAUGAGGAAUGUGUCUGAGAGCAAGAUGGCUGCCCUUAAGCCAGUAGAGGCCUUUUGACAUGAAGAAUAUCUUGGAGAGCAAAAUGGCCGCCCAUAAGGCCGUAGAGGCCUUUUGAUAGGAAGAAUAGCUCUGAGAGCAAGAUGGCCGCCCUUAAGGCACCAGAGGUCUGUUGAUAUGAAGAAUUGCUCUGUAAAAUAGGCCCUUUGAUAUGAGGGUGUGUAGCCUUGGCGACAGAAGUGUAAGCACAGGAGUAGCCUAUGUGGUGUUUUCUAGAUGUUGGACUACAACCCCCAUCAUCCCUUGACCUCUGGCCAUGCUGGCUGGGGCUGAUGGGAUUUGGGAGUCCCGACAUCACCUGCCAGCUACUCCUAGUGUAGAAACUGUCGUGGCUUUUGAGGUUCUUAAUUUUUUUUUUUAGACUUCUUUGAUUCUCUUUAGCAAGCUACGAUUCCAAGAGGGAAGCCAUAUAUCUCUCCGGAAUCAGCUUAGGGCCGAGGUUUUUGCAACAAUGGCUGUUUUUACUUGCACUGGUUGGAUUCAGGUAUCCCCCAGCUGCGAUGAGAGAAUUAAGCUUCAAUGAUCACAGUAUUCAGCGGAGAAGGGAAUAAAAUCCUGUCAACUU